Molecule: non-coding RNA, 106 nt
Organism: Capsicum annuum
Lineage: Eukaryota; Viridiplantae; Streptophyta; Magnoliopsida; Solanales; Solanaceae
Source: Rfam
UGAUGAUGAUAAGGGGAAUUCUUGAGCAUUCCCUUGAAUCUUUCCCAAUCUUGGUAAAGAUUUUAUCAUCAUUUUGUUUGAAACUCAUUAUCUCACUUCUCAAACA